Schistosoma mansoni is the source of this 83-nucleotide non-coding RNA. The record is from Rfam. NCBI's taxonomy places the organism in Eukaryota, Metazoa, Platyhelminthes, Trematoda, Strigeidida, Schistosomatidae.
UUGCCAUGAAAGACUUGAGUAGUGAGACGCUUACAGCGUGGUUUUUUCCCUUCGGCGCCUCAUACUGAGUCUUUCCCGGCUCA